UAGUCUCGGCCCAUCGCUGCAAAAUCAGCGGUCGGGUUUAGUAGCCCGGU
This 50-nucleotide non-coding RNA is filed under the name Pseudomonas bubulae. The record is from RNAcentral. Lineage: Bacteria; Pseudomonadati; Pseudomonadota; Gammaproteobacteria; Pseudomonadales; Pseudomonadaceae.